Molecule: transfer RNA, 76 nt
Filed under: Trichococcus palustris
Lineage: Bacteria; Bacillati; Bacillota; Bacilli; Lactobacillales; Carnobacteriaceae
Rfam family: tRNA
About the family: Transfer RNA (tRNA) molecules are approximately 80 nucleotides in length. Their secondary structure includes four short double-helical elements and three loops (D, anti-codon, and T loops).
Source: RNAcentral
UGGCUCGAUAGCUCAGUUGGUAGAGCACUUGAUUGAAGCUCAAGGUGUCGGCGGUUCGAAUCCGUCUCGAGCCAUC